AUGACGCGCGCGGGAGAGCCCCGGCAUCCGCUUCUUCGGAAGCAGAGCCGAGCACCGAAGGAGCAAGCCUCCCCGCCAAUCUCUCAGGUCCGCGUACCGCCCGCGUCCG
Molecule: non-coding RNA, 109 nt
Filed under: Microbacterium sp.
Lineage: Bacteria; Bacillati; Actinomycetota; Actinomycetes; Micrococcales; Microbacteriaceae
Description: Glycine sequence
Rfam family: Glycine riboswitch aptamer
About the family: This family represents the bacterial glycine riboswitch. Glycine riboswitches usually consist of two metabolite-binding aptamers domains with similar structures in tandem. The aptamers cooperatively bind glycine to regulate the expression of downstream genes.
Source: RNAcentral